Molecule: ribosomal RNA, 538 nt
Filed under: uncultured bacterium
Lineage: Bacteria
Description: bacterial SSU rRNA
Rfam family: Bacterial small subunit ribosomal RNA
Source: RNAcentral
AAUAGAUACCCCGGUAGUCCACGCCGUAAACGAUGUCUACUAGUUGUUGGGUCUUAAUUGACUUAGUAACGCAGCUAACGCGUGAAGUAGACCGCCUGGGGAGUACGGUCGCAAGAUUAAAACUCAAAGGAAUUGACGGGGACCCGCACAAGCGGUGGAUGAUGUGGAUUAAUUCGAUGCAACGCGAAAAACCUUACCUACCCUUGACAUGUCAGGAAUCCUCGAGAGAUCGGGGAGUGCCCGAAAGGGAACCUGAACACAGGUGCUGCAUGGCUGUCGUCAGCUCGUGUCGUGAGAUGUUGGGUUAAGUCCCGCAACGAGCGCAACCCUUGUCAUUAGUUGCUACGAAAGGGCACUCUAAUGAGACUGCCGGUGACAAACCGGAGGAAGGUGGGGAUGACGUCAAGUCCUCAUGGCCCUUAUGGGUAGGGCUUCACACGUCAUACAAUGGUACAUACAGAGGGCCGCCAACCCGCGAGGGGGAGCUAAUCCCAGAAAGUGUAUCGUAGUCCGGAUUGUAGUCUGCAACUCGACUACA